AGGUUCAUCGGGCUUGUAUCGAAAGAGAAAUAUACUCACUGUUAGAUCAUCCGUUUCUACAACACUAUAUACUUCGUUCCAGACACCAACACAUGUUUGUCUGAUAACAGACUUUUGUCCUGGAGGAGAAUUAUUUGCACUACUUGAUAGACAACCCAUGCAACUUUCCAGAGAAGAAUCUGCAAGGUAGCUGUUGUGAGUGCACAUUUUGAUGACUCCUUGAUGAUUUUUUAUUAAAACAUGACCAUUUAAUGUAAAAUUUUAACGUGUGCCUUCCAAUUUUGAUGUGUUAUUUCCGUACUUGUGUGGGAGCUUCCACCACUGGGUCUGUCCUUUUUUAUUUCCAUGCUUGUGUCAGAUACAAAUAUUAGCUUAUCUUUAGGAAAAGUACUAAAAUAGCCCACACCUCGUCUCAUAAAUAUUUUUAUAAUCUUAUACAUAUUUUUACUAAUAAUAAUGGUAUAUUUCUUCUUGAAUAUGGUACAAAGGAAGUAGAAAAAAAUGUCAAAAUAGAGAGAGUGAUUAAUAAUAGGGUAUUUUUAAUGGUUCUUAGUUUAUCGUUGUAGCUUGGGUUCAUAAGCUUUGAUUCUUUCCAACGUAUGGAUCCUCUUCCUAAUAGAUAUGGGCUAAUUUGCAAACAACUGCAUUUAAAAAAAAUCAUCUAUCUUUAUUAGGGUUAUACCCCUCUUGCAAAAUUGAAUUUCUAUGAUAUGCUUCUGGUUUAUCUUUUCAUCAAACAAACAGUUCUAGCUGGCAAAUUUCCUGAAUACCUCUAAUUUAACAACUAGUAUUACCUAUGCUAAGGACUGUACAGUUUUCUGCUAUUUUAAUGAGGAUUAUAGAGGUUGAAAAUGAUUAUUUUAAAUUAUUUUCCAUUGCAUUUUUUCUAAAUCCUUUGUUAUGAAUAUUUACUGAAUCUUGCCGUUACUCUCAUUCCCUUGUAUAUUAUUUGAUUUAUAUUUUUCUGCAGAUUUUAUGCUGUGGAGGUUGUAAUUGGUCUCGAGUAUCUCCAUUGCCUUGGAAUUAUAUACUGUGAUCUAAAACCAGAAAAUAUUUUGCUCCAAGAGGAUGGACACAUUUUUUUGAG
Panicum virgatum (switchgrass) is the source of this 1087-nucleotide long non-coding RNA. RefSeq lists it as uncharacterized. The record is from RefSeq and is a predicted model, not a curated record. Lineage: Eukaryota; Viridiplantae; Streptophyta; Magnoliopsida; Poales; Poaceae. The transcript has 3 exons.